GGUCUUAUGGUGUAAUGGUUAGCAUUCUGAACUUUGAAUCCAGCGAUAUGAGUUCAAAUCUCUGUAAGACUU
Molecule: non-coding RNA, 72 nt
Organism: Octopus bimaculoides (California two-spot octopus)
Lineage: Eukaryota; Metazoa; Mollusca; Cephalopoda; Octopoda; Octopodidae
Source: Rfam